AAUCUUAGAAGCAGGUCAGCUGGAUGCAGAUGCCAGCAGCCAACCUAGCAGCAGAAAUCUGGCUGUUGAAUUCUCAGGUGGUGAGCAUGGGGGUUGGUGGUGUCAACAUGAGCCCACCUGCUAUCUUUUGAGCUCCGCGUGUCCACUUUCACUGGCUCCCAAGUUGCCUCUUCCUCCCAGGGAAGCAGUGCAGUGAAGUGAGGAGUGCUGGAUUUGGAGUACUGAGAGGUCACCAGCAUAGGAGGCCAAAAAAGAAUCGAGUGAGGGAAAGAGCCCACUCAAAGUGAGGAGCGGAAGGCAAGGGAGUGAUGGGAGUGGGUGACUCAGGCCUUGUGACAGAAACAAGGAGGAGGAUGGAGGAGCCUUCAGAGUUAUACUCCUCUUGUCUUAUUGACUCAAAUGUAAAGAGGAAACCAAGAUGACUGGCAAAGCAAUACCUCCCUGUGACAAAGGCAACAGACCAAGAACCUCAAGGCAAGCCAAAGAAUUCCCUUGGAAGGAUAAAACUACCAGGCAGUCUGAGCUGGAUGGAACACGCUGGUGCAAAUGCAAAAGGUCACCGUUGGACUUGGCCAAGCUAGUAAAUGUCAAUAAGCUGGAGCUCCUUGCAACUUCAGCUUCUGCAUGUCGGGCAGUGCACCUCACCAUCAGGCCUAGGUCCCCACCUCUGCAGCCCACACUGACCCAGCUUGUCCCAAUGAGAGACCCCUUCUGAAUUGCUCACAUGGCAACCUAUCCAUCCAGAGUUCUCAACAUAACAAAAGCCCUGGCCAGGCCUUUUUGCAAGCUAGCCUUUUUCUGCAUAUAACCAUUUACAGAUUUGAGUCUCUCCCUUCUUGAUACAAAGAAAAACAAUAACAGAGAGGCUCAUGAAAUUGCAAAAUCAUGGAACACAAUUCUCUGUACCCUUUCUACAGGCACACCCUCUCAGCUCCAUGAAGGAGCCCAAUUCUUCAUUGUUCCCUGGGCUUUUUGCCAAGAAGUGAACUUUAAAGAAAUAAGAUCAUAAAGAUCCACAUAUCAACAAGUCCAUAGAAGCCCCUGGGAAUCUCAUUGGAAUGGGAGGCCUAACAUAUCCUAGACAUUAACUUCCCCAGGCCCACUGCAUUGGCUCAAGCCAGUUGAGAACUUGGCUUUCUACUAAAAUAUAUGCCUUCCUGGGAAAGGUUCUGUUCCUGGUUCGGUAUCAGCAUCUCUGGGAAUCUGUACUGUGUAUGCAGAUUGUCUGCAUUCAAAUCCAGGUUCCAGCACUUAUUAAUUAGGGGAAGUCAGGAAUGUUCACCUAACUUCCUUCGCCCUCAGUUUCUCCAUCAGUAAAAUGGAAGAUAGUAAUAUCUAUCUUAUAGGGUGUUGUAGGUAAAUGUACUUAUUCUAUUCCUUAAAAGUAGGAUCUGAUCAGGAACUGUACUUAGGCAGAACAGGAUCCUUCUGGGGAAAAGCAAUGAAGAAGAAGGUAGAAAAGGAUACAUUAAAAAAAAAGAAAAGCUGCGGAUACUGAAAUUGAAAGGCCAUCUUCAAAUGGUGCCCCUGGGAUCAGCUGCCGACAAGUGCACAGGCCCAGGUAGUGAUAGGGACACAGGUACCAGUGGAGGAUAGAGCACUGGCAAGGUGCCAGGGAAAGCAUGAGUGGCCUAAACAAUGCUCUGCAGCUUUAAGGGGUUCAAUGUACAUUAACAUUAUGAACGUAAUGAAUGCUGCUAUUAAAAAUUUGGAAGAAUACAAAUAAAAGUUUUGUAAAUCAAUACUUCUAC
Gorilla gorilla gorilla (western lowland gorilla) is the source of this 1751-nucleotide long non-coding RNA. RefSeq lists it as uncharacterized. Lineage: Eukaryota; Metazoa; Chordata; Mammalia; Primates; Hominidae. The record is from RefSeq and is a predicted model, not a curated record. The transcript has 4 exons.